CCUCUUAUGUGCUGCCUAGUGCCGUGCUCGUCUCUGUCAGCACGUUGGGAGCACAUCCCUCCGGCUCCAGGAUGCUGCCGGGCACGGCGACAGGCGUGGGAACAACUAAGGAGUGGGAGAUGACUGCAUGGUCUGUACAGCUGCACCCACUUGCUCCCUAGGAAAGAGGCAAUCCAUCAGAAAAGCAUUCACACAGACCCUCGCUGUCAGCUGAGGCCCGAGUCUUCAUAAAAGCGUCUAUAUUUAUCAUCGCUUUUGUAAUUCAGGAACUAUUCCAUCAAGAAAUAUUCCUUCUUGGUCUGUCUGCUUUUUUUUUUUCCUUCUCUUUUUCUUCCCUUCCCUCCUCUGUUCUUCAUGGAUACCCGUUAUAUCUCUUUCCUCCUGUGUUCUUCAUGGGUAAUCCUGUAUAUAAAUAUCUGACUAUAAAUCCCUUCUAUAACUCAGCAGAGUUCCCACUGAGGUCGGUGCAUUUACUCCCUGGGUGAAUGCCUCCUGUCCUGCUCCUGCCCUGUGCCCAGGGCUGCAGCAGCUAUUCCCAUCAGCUGGUGUCAGGCACCACCUGGCAGCGUGGCUUCAUUUGCUCUGAGGAGGGGACUCUCUCUUCUGGCUGCUGCUGCUGGCCCCCUGCGUGUGUUCUGGGGCCAUCUGGGGCUGCUCCGACUGCUCCAUCCUUCAAGUGCACAACAGAAGAAGGAGAGGGGACUGAGAGACACAUCCUACACAUGCAUCACAGUCUUUCAUUUCGUCUGAUGUAUCUUCUCACAUCUCCUGAACAGGACCUCUGAUGCUGAAAGGGUAAGAUAACCCUCGCUGAGCCUCCUCAACCCUCUGCUGAAGCCACUUACAUCUGCUGGCUCCUACAACCCAACAAAGACAUUGUCUAGCUUUGACAAAGAAAGCUUUUCUCUGAA
Molecule: long non-coding RNA, 911 nt
Organism: Apus apus (common swift)
Lineage: Eukaryota; Metazoa; Chordata; Aves; Apodiformes; Apodidae
Exons: 2
Source: RefSeq, a predicted model, not a curated record